GACGUAGGGGGCGAGCGUUGUCCGGAAUUACUGGGCGUAAAGAGCACGUAGGCGGAUGAAUAAGUCAGGUGUGAAAGACCGCAGCCCAACUGCGGGAUUGCACUUGAAACUGUUUAUCUUGAGGGCAGGAGAGGUCAGUAGAAUUCCUGGUGUAGCGGUGAAAUGCGUAGAAAUCAGGAGGAAUACCAGUGGCGAAGGCGACUGACUGGACUGACCCUGACGCUGAGGUGCGAAAGCGUGGGUAGCAAACAGGAUUAGAUACCCUGGUAGUCCACGCCGUAAACGAUGGAUACUAGGUGUGGGAGGUAUCGACCCCUUCCGUGCCGCAGCUAACGCAAUAAGUAUCCCGCCUGGGGAGUACGGUCGCAAGGCUGAA
This 376-nucleotide ribosomal RNA is filed under the name uncultured bacterium. RNAcentral describes it as "bacterial SSU rRNA". It matches the Rfam family "Bacterial small subunit ribosomal RNA", at positions 524 to 898 of the family's 1533-position model. The record is from RNAcentral.